GACGAACGCUGGCGGCGUGCUUAACACAUGCAAGUCGAACGGUGAAAGCGGAGCUUGCUCCGCUGGAUCAGUGGCGAACGGGUGAGUAACACGUGGGCAACCUGCCCCUCACUUCGGGAUAACUCCGGGAAACCGGGGCUAAUACCGGAUAUGACCUCCUUGGGCAUCCUUGGAGGUGGAAAGUUUUUCGGUGAGGGAUGGGCCCGCGGCCUAUCAGCUUGGUGGUGAGGUAGUGGCUCACCAAGCGGACGACGGGUAGCCGGCCUGAGAGGGCGACCGGCCACACUGGGACUGAGACACGGCCCAGACUCCUACGGGAGGCAGCAGUGGGGAAUAUUGCGCAAUGGGCGAAAGCCUGACGCAGCAACGCCGCGUGCGGGAUGACGGCCUUCGGGUUGUAAACCGCUUUCAGCAGGGAAGAAGCCGCAAGGUGACGGUACCUGCAGAAGAAGCACCGGCUAACUACGUGCCAGCAGCCGCGGUAA
Molecule: ribosomal RNA, 485 nt
Filed under: uncultured bacterium
Lineage: Bacteria
Description: partial 16S ribosomal RNA
Rfam family: Bacterial small subunit ribosomal RNA
Source: RNAcentral